UUUUAUGAGAGUUUGAUCCUGGCUCAGGACGAACGCUGGCGGCGUGCCUAAUACAUGCAAGUCGAACGCUUCUUUUUCCACCGGAGCUUGCUCCACCGGAAAAAGAGGAGUGGCGAACGGGUGAGUAACACGUGGGUAACCGGCCCAUCAGAAGGGGAGAACACUUGGAAACAGGAGCUAAUACCGUAUAACAAUCAAAACCGCAUGGUUUUGAUUUGAGAGGCGCUUUCGGGUGUCGCUGAUGGAUGGACCCGCGGGGCAUUAGCAAGUUGGUGAGGUAACGGCUCACCAAGG
Molecule: ribosomal RNA, 294 nt
Filed under: Enterococcus faecium
Lineage: Bacteria; Bacillati; Bacillota; Bacilli; Lactobacillales; Enterococcaceae
Description: partial 16S ribosomal RNA
Rfam family: Bacterial small subunit ribosomal RNA
Source: RNAcentral